CCAACGUGGAUACUCCCGAGUGGUCCCUCUCCCCAGGCUCUGUCCAGGUGGCAUGGAGGAGCACAGGGCUCAGUGCCCCGUGAUGUGCAGUCCUUUCCCACAACAUUGGAGAUCAAGCUGGCCCUUGAGCCUGCGCCUGCACAUUCCUACAGCUUCUCAGAGUCCUAUGGACAAUGCCUGAGGAGACAAACCAGGCAGGAAACAUGU
Molecule: small nucleolar RNA, 207 nt
Organism: Echinops telfairi (small Madagascar hedgehog)
Lineage: Eukaryota; Metazoa; Chordata; Mammalia; Afrosoricida; Tenrecidae
Product: small nucleolar RNA SNORA73 family
Exons: 1
Source: RefSeq, a predicted model, not a curated record